CCUACGGGGUGCUGCAGUGGGGAAUAUUGGACAAUGGGUGAAAGCCUGAUCCAGCCAUGCCGCGUGUGUGAAGAAGGCCUUCGGGUUGUAAAGCACUUUCAGUGGGGAAGAAAGCCUUGGGGCUAAUACCCUCGAGGAAGGACAUCACCCACAGAAGAAGCACCGGCUAACUCCGUGCCAGCAGCCGCGGUAAUACGGAGGGUGCGAGCGUUAAUCGGAAUUACUGGGCGUAAAGCGCGCGUAGGCGGUCUGAUAAGCCGGUUGUGAAAGCCCCGGGCUCAACCUGGGAACGGCAUCCGGAACUGUCAGGCUAGAGUGCAGGAGAGGAAGGUAGAAUUCCCGGUGUAGCGGUGAAAUGCGUAGAGAUCGGGAGGAAUACCAGUGGCGAAGGCGGCCUUCUGGACUGACACUGACGCUGAGGUGCGAAAGCGUGGGUAGCAAACAGGAUUAGAUACCCUUGUAGUC
RNAcentral lists this ribosomal RNA (465 nucleotides) under Vreelandella stevensii. RNAcentral's name for it is "partial 16S ribosomal RNA". It matches the Rfam family "Bacterial small subunit ribosomal RNA", at positions 338 to 795 of the family's 1533-position model. Lineage: Bacteria; Pseudomonadati; Pseudomonadota; Gammaproteobacteria; Oceanospirillales; Halomonadaceae. The record is from RNAcentral.